CUAGCGACUUCAGAGUUUGAUCCUGGCUCAGGAUUAACGCUGGCGGCGUGCAUAACACAUUCAAGUCGAACGGUGAAGCCCUUCGGGGCGGAUCAGUGGCGGACGGGUGAGUAACGCGUGAGCAACCUGCCCUUGUGUACGGGAUACCAACGGGAAACUGUUGUUAAUACCGUAUGACCCAAUAGUAUGGCAUCAUACAGUUGGCAAAGGUUUACUGCACAAGGAUGGGCUCGCGUCUGAUUAGAUAGUUGGUGGGGUAACGGCCUACCAAGUCGACGAUCAGUAGCCGGACUGAGAGGUUGAACGGCCACAUUGGAACUGAGAUACGGUCCAG
This 334-nucleotide ribosomal RNA is filed under the name uncultured bacterium. RNAcentral's name for it is "bacterial SSU rRNA". It matches the Rfam family "Bacterial small subunit ribosomal RNA", at positions 1 to 334 of the family's 1533-position model. The record is from RNAcentral.